Molecule: ribosomal RNA, 1662 nt
Filed under: Coptotermes gestroi
Lineage: Eukaryota; Metazoa; Arthropoda; Insecta; Blattodea; Rhinotermitidae
Description: bacterial LSU rRNA
Source: RNAcentral
CCAAGGGUUCCAGGGCUAGGCUAAUCCGCCCUGGGAUAGUCGGGACCUAAGGCGAGGCCGUCAGGCGUAGUCGAUGGACGACCAGUUGAUAUUCUGGUACCGGCGUGUUUCCGCCAAUAUUGCUUUACUGGAUACUAAGCCGUCUUUUCCUGGUUCCUGCUUUCGGGUGGGGGUUGGGGUUUGUUCGGUGGCCUGAUGGUGGAGUGGUAAGCGGUCAGGGGUGACGCAGGAAGGUAGCCGGAGCGCGCCGGUGGUUGUGCGCGUCUAAGGUUGUGGCCCGUCUCUUUGGUAAAUCCGGGAGGCUUUGUGGGUGAGGGCUGAUGGGGACCCUGUUUUGGGGGACUUCGGUGAUCCUAUGCUGCCUAGAAAAUCCUCGGCGUGAGGAAACAUGCCGCCCGUACCCUAAACCGACUCAGGUGGUCAGGUAGAGGAUACCAAGGCGAUCGAGUGAAUCGUGGUUAAGGAACUCGGCAAAAUGCCCCCGUAACUUCGGGAGAAGGGGGGCCUGAACUGUGUACCAUCCGUGCGGUGGGAAGCGGGGAGGGCCGCAGAGGCCAGGGAGAAGCGACUGUUUACUAAAAACACAGGUCCGUGCGAAGCCGCAAGGCGAUGUAUACGGACUGACGCCUGCCCGGUGCUGGAAGGUUAAGAGGACCYGUCAGCCCUUUUUGGGUGAAGCGGAGAAUUUAAGCCCCAGUAAACGGCGGUGGUAACUAUAACCAUCCUAAGGUAGCGAAAUUCCUUGUCGGGUAAGUUCCGACCUGCACGAAUGGCGUAACGACUUCUCUACUGUCUCAACCGCGAACUCGGCGAAAUUGCAUUACGAGUAAAGAUGCUCGUUACGCGCAGCAGGACGGAAAGACCCCGGGACCUUUACUAUAGCUUGGUAUUGGUGUUCGGUUCGGAUUGUGUAGGAUAGGUGGGAGAUUUUGAAGCGGUGCCGCCAGGUGUCGUGGAGUCGUCGUUGAAAUACCACUCUGUUCGUUUCGGAUGUCUAACCUUGGACCGUUAUCCGGUUUGGGGACAGUGCCUGGUGGGUAGUUUAACUGGGGCGGUUGCCUCCUAAAGAGUAACGGAGGCGCCCAAAGGUUCCCUCAGCCUGGUUGGCAAUCAGGUGUUGAGUGUAAGUGCACAAGGGAGCUUGACUGUGAGACCGACGGGUCGAGCAGGGACGAAAGUCGGGACUAGUGAUCCGGCGGCACCGAGUGGAAGGGCCGUCGCUCAACGGAUAAAAGGUACCCCGGGGAUAACAGGCUGAUCUUGCCCAAGAGUCCAUAUCGACGGCAUGGUUUGGCACCUCGAUGUCGGCUCGUCGCAUCCUGGGGCUGGAGUAGGUCCCAAGGGUUGGGCUGUUCGCCCAUUAAAGCGGUACGCGAGCUGGGUUUAGAACGUCGUGAGACAGUUCGGUCACUAUCCGCUGCGCGCGUAGGAGGCUUGAGAAGGCCUGUCCCUAGUACGAGAGGACCGGGACGGACGAACCUCUGGUGUGCCAGUUGUUCCGCCAGGAGCACGGCUGGUUAGCUACGUUCGGAAGGGAUAACCGCUGAAAGCAUCUAAGCGGGAAGCCUGCUUCAAGACAAGGCCUCCCAUCCCGCCAUCGUGUGUUUUUGUUGGCUUAUUAGUACUGGUCAGCUUCACGUCUCUUUGGUGACGCUUCCACUU